This is a small nucleolar RNA of Capsella rubella, 106 nucleotides long. It matches the Rfam family "Small nucleolar RNA snoR100". The record is from Rfam. NCBI's taxonomy places the organism in Eukaryota, Viridiplantae, Streptophyta, Magnoliopsida, Brassicales, Brassicaceae.
GAAUGAAGGUAGCAUGGUACUGUGCACGGAAACUGAGCUACCGCAGAUCGACAUGUCUGCCAUCUCUGAACUCUCUGAUGAGACGGCCUGGUUUAGAUCUAUAUUC